UACGAAGGGGGCUAGCGUUGCUCGGAAUCACUGGGCGUAAAGCGCACGUAGGCGGGUUGUUAAGUCGGGGGUGAAAUCCUGGAGCUCAACUCCAGAACUGCCUUCGAUACUGGCGACCUUGAGUCCGGGAGAGGUGAGUGGAACUCCGAGUGUAGAGGUGAAAUUCGUAGAUAUUCGGAAGAGCACCAGUGGCGAAGGCGGCUCACUGGCCCGGUACUGACGCUGAGGUGCGAAAGCGUGGGGAGCAAACAGG
Molecule: ribosomal RNA, 253 nt
Filed under: uncultured bacterium
Lineage: Bacteria
Description: partial 16S ribosomal RNA
Rfam family: Bacterial small subunit ribosomal RNA
Source: RNAcentral